CCUACGGGUGGCAGCAGUGGGGAAUAUUGCACAAUGGGCGCAAGCCUGAUGCAGCCAUGCCGCGUGUGUGAAGAAGGCCUUCGGGUUGUAAAGCACUUUCAGCGGGGAGGAAGGCGGUGAGGUUAAUAACCUCAUCGAUUGACGUUACCCGCAGAAGAAGCACCGGCUAACUCCGUGCCAGCAGCCGCGGUAAUACGGAGGGUGCAAGCGUUAAUCGGAAUUACUGGGCGUAAAGCGCACGCAGGCGGUCUGUCAAGUCGGAUGUGAAAUCCCCGGGCUCAACCUGGAACUGCAUUCGAAACUGGCAGGCUAGAGUCUUGUAGAGGGGGGUAGAAUUCCAGGUGUAGCGGUGAAAUGCGUAGAGAUCUGGAGGAAUACCGGUGGCGAAGGCGGCCCCCUGGACAAAGACUGACGCUCAGGUGCGAAAGCGUGGGGAGCAAACAGGAUUAGAUACCCGAGUAGUC
RNAcentral lists this ribosomal RNA (464 nucleotides) under uncultured Klebsiella sp. RNAcentral describes it as "bacterial SSU rRNA". It matches the Rfam family "Bacterial small subunit ribosomal RNA", at positions 338 to 795 of the family's 1533-position model. Lineage: Bacteria; Pseudomonadati; Pseudomonadota; Gammaproteobacteria; Enterobacterales; Enterobacteriaceae. The record is from RNAcentral.